ACUCCUACGGGAGGCAGCAGUGGGGAAUAUUGCACAAUGGGCGCAAGCCUGAUGCAGCCAUGCCGCGUGUGUGAAGAAGGCCUUCGGGUUGUAAAGCACUUUCAGUCGUGAGGAAGGUAGUGUAGUUAAUAGCUGCAUUAUUUGUACGUUAGCGACAGAAGAAGCACCGCUAACUCCGUGCCAGCAGCCGCGGUAAGUACGGAGGGUGCGAGCGUUAAUCGGAAUUACUGGGCGUAAAGCGCAUGCAGGUUGGUUUGUUAAGUCAGAUGUGAAAGCCCGGGGCUCAACCUCGGAAUAGCAUUUGAAACUGGCAGACUAGAGUACUGGUAGAGGGGGGUUAGAA
This 343-nucleotide ribosomal RNA is filed under the name uncultured bacterium. Its description in RNAcentral is "bacterial SSU rRNA". It matches the Rfam family "Bacterial small subunit ribosomal RNA", at positions 335 to 666 of the family's 1533-position model. The record is from RNAcentral.